RNAcentral lists this transfer RNA (85 nucleotides) under Felis catus (domestic cat). It matches the Rfam family "tRNA". From Rfam's summary of the family: Transfer RNA (tRNA) molecules are approximately 80 nucleotides in length. Lineage: Eukaryota; Metazoa; Chordata; Mammalia; Carnivora; Felidae. The record is from Rfam by way of RNAcentral. RNAcentral also lists the same sequence under 3 other names.
GCCUGGGUGGCUCAGUUGGUUAAGCAUCUGACUUCAGCUCAGGUGAUGAUCUCCCAGUUCAUGAGUUCAAGUCCCAUGUCAGGCU